This 497-nucleotide ribosomal RNA is filed under the name uncultured bacterium. RNAcentral's name for it is "partial 16S ribosomal RNA". It matches the Rfam family "Bacterial small subunit ribosomal RNA", at positions 28 to 507 of the family's 1533-position model. The record is from RNAcentral.
GAUGAACGCUGGCGGCGUGCCUAAUACAUGCAAGUCGAGCGAACGGACGAGAAGCUUGCUUCUCUGAUGUUAGCGGCGGACGGGUGAGUAACACGUGGAUACCCUACCUAUAAGACUGAGAUAACUUCGUGAAACCGGAGCUAAUACCGGAUAAUAUUUUGAACCACAUGGUUCAAAAGUUAAAGACGGUCUUGCUGUCACUUAUAGAUGGAUCCGCGCUGCAUUAGCUAGUUGGUAAGGUAACGGCUUACCAAGGCAACGAUGCAUAGCCGACCGGAGAGGGGGAUCGGCCACACUGGAACUGAGACACGGUCCAGACGCCUACGGGAGGCAGCAGUAGGGAAUCUUCCGCAAAGGGCGAAAGCCUGACGGAGCAACGCCGCGUGAGUGAUGAAGGUCUUCGGAUCGUAAAACUCUGUUAUUAGGGAAGAACAUAUGUGUAAGUAACUGUGCACAUCUUGACGGUACCUAAUCAGAAAGCCACGGCUAACUACGUG